UGGCUGAAGGUGGGAUUCAGGGCCUGUCCAGGGGUGCAGAGAUGAGCUGGGGGGAAGCAAGCAACUGUGAGGUGGCAGAAGUCAAAAGGGAGCACCAGAGGAGGAGGAGCAAGGGGAAGGGAUUGGCAAGGGAGGAGGAAAGGGAAAUAAUUGAAAAUGCAAUAGAAGAAUACAUAGGUAGAAAGUGCACUGGGCAAAACUUUUAAUCUUUCCACGGGACAUCACCAAAUAUUCAAUAUCUCUUGCCUCAGAGCAUCUUCUCAUCUUGUGCUUCUGUUAAUUAGGGUUAAACCUGCAGAAACUUUGCAGGAAGCUUUCCCUUCAUAAUCAUAGUUACCUAAAAUUUCAUAUUGGGUCUUUAGCUCGUUACAUUAGCGUAAUUCUUUGAUAGCUCUCUGUCAGCGGAUGGAGGCAGUGAUGCUGAGCAAGCGUGACCUGGAGUACAGCUGCAGACAGCUGAUAAUUGAGCAGGUGGUGUCCUGGAGCAUGAGACUUGGUGGAGAAAAUGGACUCAACAAGCUCAAGAGCUGUCUACCCCAAUGAGCAUCAAAUCAAGGAGGGGCAGCAGGAGGUCUGCAUGGGUCAGCAAGGAAAUCCUGUCAAAACUCGGGCACAAAAAGGGAGGAUAUAAGAGGUGGAAGCAGGUUUAGGUGGCCCAGCCAGCAGGUAAAGUAACUGUCUGAGCUUGCAGGGAUAGGGCUAGGAAAGCCAAAGAACACCUGGAGUUGAGUCUGGUGAGGGAUGUGAGGGUGAUAUAAGGGGCUUCUACCAGUAUAUCAGCAGCAAGAGGAAGCCAAGGGAUAACACGGACCUGCUGCUUGAAUGGGCAGGGGCUCUGGUGAUAAAGGACACCGAAAAGGCCACAGGUACUCAAUACCUUCGGCUUGGUCUUUAAUAGUAAGAUUUACCUUUUUAGGAAUUCUAGCUCCCUGAGACCAGAAGAAAAGUCUGUAGCAAGGAAGAAUUACCAUCAGUAGUAGUGGAUCAGGUGAGGGAAUGCUUAAACUGGACACAUGCAGGUCCAUGGGAUGGGGUGCCCCCAUGCAUGCUGAGGGAGCUGAGUGAUGUGAUAGUACACCCACUCUGUUACCUUUACAAAGUCACAGUGAUCGGGAGAUGACUGAUGAUUGGAAGACAGCAAAUAUCACACCCUUCAAGAAGGGCAAGGAGGAUCUAGGGAACUCCAGACUGGUCAGCUUCACCUCCAUCCUUGGGAAGGUAAUGGAACAACUAAUCCUGGAACCCAUUUCCAGACACAUGAAGGACAAAAGGGUGAUCAGGAGGAAUUGGCAUGGAUUUAUGAAGGGGAAGUCGUGCUUCACCAGCCUGAUAGCCUUCUGUGAAGAGAUGAGUGGCCUGGUGAAGGAGGGAAGAGCAGUGGAUGUUGUUUAACCUGGCUUUAGCGAGACAUUUGACGGUCUUGGACAGCAUCCUCACAAAAAACUGAUUAUGGUACAGACCAUAUAACUGGACAGUGAGGUGAACUGAAAACAAGCUGGACUACUAGGCUCAGAUGGUUGUGAUCAGUGGCACAAAGUGUAGCUAGAGGAUAAUCACCAGUAAAGUACCCCAAUUGUUGAUACUAGGUCCAAUGAUGUUUAUCCUCUUCAUUUAUGAUCUGGAUGAUGGAACAAAGGACUUAGGGACUUAUAUCAUCUGCAAACUUGCAGAUGAUACAAAACUGAAAGGAGUGGCCAAUGUGUCAGAGGGUUGUAUUGCCAUUCAAAGGGACCUGGACAGCCUGGAGUAUUGGGCAGAGAAGAAUGUCAUGAAGUUCAACAAAGGGAAAUGCGAAGUCCUGUGCCCAGAGAACCUCAUGCACAAAUAUAGAAGCUUUCCUUCCCGCACAAUCUCAUCCAAAGCUGUGCACAGGUGUCCUUUUGUUCAGCUGCACUUAAAACUGCUGCAAUUUGAUUCCUGUUUGAGGUCUACCAGGCUGUAAAUAAGAUUAAUAUGGAGAUAUGCUUACAGCUAUGGAGUUGCCUAACUUAGAUUGAACUUCCUUUAAAAGGUUUAGUGAUCUAUAAUUGCAUUCUUUAGUAAUUGUAUUAAAGCAUAUUCUUUACA
Non-coding RNA from Phalacrocorax carbo (great cormorant), 2067 nucleotides. NCBI's taxonomy places the organism in Eukaryota, Metazoa, Chordata, Aves, Suliformes, Phalacrocoracidae. The record is from RefSeq and is a predicted model, not a curated record.